Non-coding RNA from Microcebus murinus (gray mouse lemur), 759 nucleotides. Lineage: Eukaryota; Metazoa; Chordata; Mammalia; Primates; Cheirogaleidae. The record is from RefSeq and is a predicted model, not a curated record.
CUUUCUUCUUCCACAUGAUUUAGACUCCUACACACGAUGGUGUUCCAAGUUCCACAAUGUUGAGGGCCUCUCCCCUGGAUCUCAGACCUGGAUUCACAGGACCCUAAGGCUCCCCUCUCCAUGCUAUACAACAGCAGUUCCCUGGAAUGUUAAGUGGUAUCUCAUGAACAAGUGUUUCAUGGUCAACUCCUGCUGGAACCCAGGGAGUCUCAGUCUCCUUGACCCAGUCCGUGAGCACUCAGGCUUUGCUAGAAAGAGCCGUCAGGUCUAGCAUCUCAAUCAGACUUGAGUCACAGUGGCAUUAAGACUUCCCGUUUGACUGCCAAAUCCUUUAAAUGAACCCAUUCAUGCCAUCUGAAUGCCGCGUGGUAGCGAGCACGUUCCGUCUGGUGUUUCCAGACUCUGAAGUCGGAUUCUGUCACUUCCCUUUUCCUGCUGUACAGCACACGGGCCACAGAUCCAAACACUUGAUGGAAAUUUUUCUUUCUAUCUUAAAUCUUCCAAAACUAGUUACCUCUGAGGCCAAUGAACUCAACAUCCAGAGAGAGAACAAGAGAGUGAUCACAGAAUAAUGGAAAUGUUUUUAGUAGAUGUUUGUAUACUCGGUGAACUGCCACAGGGGACCCUAUCUGAACAAAAGCAGCCAAAAUAACACACAUAUGGGGAGGGCUAAAGAAAAGAAUAAGAUGUUCUAUGCCCAAUCUAUAAAAUCUGAGCCUGUGAUGUGUUAGAAAUAAAUGCACGAUGACUAAUUUUGAA